UCAAUUGCACUUAUCGGUGGAUGUCUUGGCUCUGGGAACGAUGAAGACCGCGGCCAGACGCGAUAGUCAAUGGGAAUUGCAGAAGCAUGAGACUCAUCAGGUCGUCGAACGCAUUAGCGGGCUGGGUUCGCCCAUGCCCAUCAGCAGUUGAG
Non-coding RNA from Diplonema papillatum, 152 nucleotides. The record is from the annotation of a GenBank genome assembly. NCBI's taxonomy places the organism in Eukaryota, Euglenozoa, Diplonemea, Diplonemida, Diplonemidae.